Mesocricetus auratus (golden hamster) is the source of this 272-nucleotide long non-coding RNA. RefSeq lists it as uncharacterized. The record is from RefSeq and is a predicted model, not a curated record. NCBI's taxonomy places the organism in Eukaryota, Metazoa, Chordata, Mammalia, Rodentia, Cricetidae. The transcript has 3 exons.
ACAACCCUUCCCCUCUUCACCCGGAACACCCACGCCUACCUCUGCGGCCAUGCGCACUUCCCACGGAACACUCGAAGCUUGGUCUCAUCACCCACCGCAACUCUUCUAGGACUCCAGCACCAGACUGGGCCUGCUGAGACAUCAUCCAGCCUCAUGGACUGAACGGCUUCUGGAUCCUUGGCGUUUCUGUUGGACGACAGCCAUUGUUGAACUAUCUGGACUACAGCCUGUAUAUGCCUAAGAGUGAAACUGCUGGAUCUUGUGGUAGACUG